UCCCCCGCCCAGGCUUCGUGUCGAAGCUCCUGAGUUUGGAAGGCAGGCAGGAGGGUACUGAGCGACGUGAUUUUCAAACUGCAGGCCCCACGGAAAAGUCCUACAUAGCACACGGAGCAGCACGUGGUUGCUUUGCUACAGUUGGGCCUCCUGGUUUUGGCCUCUGGAACAACCUGCGAGAAGCUUCCAAUCAUUUCUUUGUAACUGGAGGGGCACCACACCAAGAACAUAGCUGCUGGCAUCUGUUGGAAUGGCUGUUGACUUGGAAACCUCUUCAGCGUCAGUCCAUGGAGUUACUGCAAGUGACGAGGUUUCCCUAUAAGAAGCUACCUAACCUAAGAAAUCCAUCUAAACGGGUGAAUUUCUCCAAGACCAAUUGUUUUGCAUCUUUCUUGGUUAUUUUCUGAGUACUCCUAUGACUUAUUCACGUAGCAAAUAUUGUAUUUGAUUUUGCUUCUCUUCCUGUUCAUGGCUUAUAUGUGAACAGAUCACAAUUUUCUCAGAUUCAUGUGUUGAGAAUUAUUUGUAGGACUCUACCAAAUUCACGGCUAUGAAAAAAGCCUCAUGGACAGUGAAAUCUGGUCUUUUGUGUGCUCUUACCCUAUACCAGGGGUUCUCAAACUUCAUUGCACUGCAACCGCCUUC
Non-coding RNA from Caretta caretta (loggerhead turtle), 645 nucleotides. Lineage: Eukaryota; Metazoa; Chordata; Testudines; Cheloniidae. The record is from RefSeq and is a predicted model, not a curated record.